Molecule: microRNA precursor, 61 nt
Filed under: Limulus polyphemus (Atlantic horseshoe crab)
Lineage: Eukaryota; Metazoa; Arthropoda; Merostomata; Xiphosura; Limulidae
Description: Lpo-Mir-36-P12_pre stem-loop
Source: RNAcentral
UGAUGAGCGUAGACCCGGUAAGUGUAGAUUUUCUAUCAUCACCGGGUAAACAUUCAUCCGG